AGUCGAACGGUAACAGGUUAAGCUGACGAGUGGCGAACGGGUGAGUAAUGUAUCGGAACGUGCCCAGUCGUGGGGGAUAACUGCUCGAAAGAGCAGCUAAUACCGCAUACGACCUGAGGGUGAAAGCGGGGGAUCGCAAGACCUCGCGCGAUUGGAGCGGCCGAUAUCAGAUUAGGUAGUUGGUGAGGUAAAGGCUCGCCAAGCCGACGAUCUGUAGCUGGUCUGAGAGGACGACCAGCCACACUGGGACUGAGACACGGCCCAGACUCCUACGGGAGGCAGCAGUGGGGAAUUUUGGACAAUGUGCGCAAGCCUGAUCCAGCCAUGCCGCGUGCGGGAAGAAGGCCUUCGGGUUGUAAACCGCUUUUGUCAGGGAAGAAAAGGUUCUGGCUAAUACCUGGGACUCAUGACGGUACCUGAAGAAUAAGCACCGGCUAACUACGUGCCAGCAGCCGCGGUAAUACGUAGGGUGCAAGCGUUAAUCGGAAUUACUGGGCGUAAAGCGUGCGCAGGCGGUUAUGCAAGACAGAGGUGAAAUCCCCGGGCUCAACCUGGGAACUGCCUUUGUGACUGCAUGGCUAGAGUACGGUAGAGGGGGAUGGAAUUCCGCGUGUA
Molecule: ribosomal RNA, 615 nt
Filed under: uncultured Roseateles sp.
Lineage: Bacteria; Pseudomonadati; Pseudomonadota; Betaproteobacteria; Burkholderiales; Sphaerotilaceae
Description: bacterial SSU rRNA
Rfam family: Bacterial small subunit ribosomal RNA
Source: RNAcentral